This 9418-nucleotide long non-coding RNA is filed under the name Hordeum vulgare. RNAcentral describes it as "long non-coding RNA (HVUL_LNC018294)". Lineage: Eukaryota; Viridiplantae; Streptophyta; Magnoliopsida; Poales; Poaceae. The record is from RNAcentral.
AUCACGGGACCAUCUUGCUUUAUUCAUAUUGAUCUCAUAUAUAAAUCACGGCACACAGAAGUAUAUAUAUGACAAAAGAAAGAAUGUCUACCAAGACCAACCGAUCAAAACCUAGCAAGACUCAUCAAACUACCACCGAUCUAAACCGUAUGUAUAGAAACCAGUCACCCAGGAGUAGUCGAGGACAAAACGCAACCAUCUCUACUGCAGGAGAGUCGCCGCGAGCAGUGACACAAGCGCGGAGGCCACCACGGCCACGGCGGAGACCGGGGCGAGACCGGCGGCCGCUCCGGCGUCUGGCGCGGGCGCGGGCGCCGACGAAGGCGCCAUGAUGCCCUGCGCCGAUGCGGAGGCGAAGAAAACGGAGGCCACGGCCAUGGCGACGAGCAGCACGGCGGCGCGGGGAGCCAUCACACCCUUCUUUCCUGGGCUGAGAAACGCUAGGGAGCUCUGUACGAGACCUGGCGGCGUCGAGGAGAUUGGUGUGGGAGGAGGAGGCGGCGUGGUGGAUGGAUGCUUAGGGAUGGAGGAUGGUGGGGGUUUAUAAUGGAGGCGGCGUGGCCCGUGGGUUUUGCGGUGCACGCAAACGCGUUUCGGUCGCGGGGCGUGGGAACGCGAGGUGGCCUGUGGGGUUGGGGGCCUUCCGCGUGACCGCCGUCUGUUGGGCUGGGGGGUGGGUUGGCAUGACGCGGUGCCGUUGGCCCGACUCCACCGACGGACGCGUCUUGGUGGAAGCUAAGAAUUAGGUUCGUGGCUAACCCGAACGCCAAAUGUGGUGCCUUGAGCUAGCCGGGCAGCACCGACUUCGGAUCGUGGCUAACGGAAUGCCAAAUGCGCCUUGUCCUCGUGCUUAGUUGCACCUUGCACGCCACCGGCUUUCUUUCUUUCUUAUUUUUCUUUUUUAACACAAUACAGACCGUAGCGUUCAUGUACUCACGUAUAUUACUCGUUCAUGAACGCACAUGUAUAUUCUAUCUUUACGAACAACUUUGAUAGACUGAGCUAACAUAUCAUCUUAAAAUUUACGAAGUCGUCGUAGACGCCUCGUCGUCGACGUAAACGCCUCUUUCAACUGAAUGCGCAUCUUCGAAAAUCUGAAAAUAAAUUUAAAAAUAAAUGCGAGCACCAGUAUUUGAAUCUUGAUGGACUGAGAUAUUACACUCCCUCUAACCAUCCAACUAGAGGUUAGCUUGCACUUCUCUUUUUUUCAACUCGUUUUCUGCAACAACAACAACAAUGACAACAAAAAAGUCCCAUGGUAAACAUCCAGAUAAUUCAAAGACGACGGCAACAGAUUGUAAAUAGAACAUGAAUAAUGUGAUGAUAAAUGCAACGAAUAAAUAAUUCUGCAACUAUAAUACAUGAGUAAAUAUAUUGUGGAAAAAAAUCUAAAGAACCGGUCUAGGACUGUUACAACACUCCUCAUUUACAAGUUAAUUUACUACCUUGAUCUCAUGGCUGGGCAAAUAGUUACCUCCAUACAUAGGUGGUGGGUCGAACCGUCGAAGUCUCAACCUGGCCCGACAUCCCCCGGGAGGACACUGCUUCUACUCUUCUUUUUGAUAUAGCUCAACAUUCAUGCCACGUGUGGUAUCACCGUCUAUAUUAUGUUGUUGUGGCAACGUGUCUCAUAUACCCUCCCUCAUCUUCUCCAAUAUUAAGAAUGAGGCGGCGCUUUGUGUUGAGGCCAGAGGGCAUGACAGUUAGAGCAUCUUCAAUAACAGCCCUACAAUAGGGCAUGAGCCGUUUCUAGGGCACGAGAGCAUCUAUAGCUGGACGACUCAAAAGACUCAUUAUAUGUCUACGGACGUGCCUCGUCAGUGGCCCGACAAAAAAUAGAAGAAAAAAAAGUAACCUAACUCGAUCCUUGAUAUUCAUCUCAUAUAUAAGUAGGAUAUAAGGGCUCGAGGUCGCGUCCGUGCGCAUCUAUCAGUCCGCUGCGUAGGACGCGGUCUCACCCCGAACCAUCUUUUCCUUUUCUUUAUUCAUUCAUUCUUUCUUUCUCUUCCUCUCCACCCAUCACAUGCAAGUGACCGGACAUAUGAGGAAGGAAAUGAGAAAUGUGGUUGUACGGACAGAAAAAUAGGAGACACGUCCGGUCACUGACCGGACGCGUCUGCGGACGUUUAGAAGGGUCAUAUUUGCUAUGUCCAGUUGUAAAUGCUGUGAGGGGACAAAAAAGACGUCCAACGGCUACCCAAUCCUAGUAUUUUGUAAAAAAAAAAAUUAAACAACCCUAGAAAAAGGCUUAUUGUGAGGCAAAUUUAGGGCAUUGUGGCUGAAAACCCUUGGAUCCAUCUAUCAGCCAACUAGUACAUGUCAUGGCUAGCGCCUUCGACCCUGCCGUCGAUCCUGAUAUGCUCACCACCAUUGCCGCCCUAUUUUAGGGCGGCUGUUGGAACGGUUGUGCCCUAUUCCGUGUACAAAAAGGCAUAAAAAUGUCUUUUGGACAUGUAAUAGGGCUGCUAUUUAAGAUGGCACUUUCUCGUGUCCAAAACUUUUUAUUUUCAAGGAUACGUCAAGAUAGACGUAUCGGGAUCAUAGAAAGAAGAAGCCAAGAAGGCAGAUUAUGGUACAACUCAUCCACGGCUCAAAGAGCCACAUACCUCAUGCGGACUACUCGCUAUCCUCUACCGUUCCUGCCCUAAUUGGCAAAGAUCUAGGAUCUCGCAACAGUUUUGCCGCCCUCCAAUCUUGGGCCUCAAUGUCGAUUUGCCUCUGCAUCGUUGCCGCGUCCGGGGAAGCUCCGUUGAAGACAAUCUUGUUUCUGUGGCGCCACAAGGUCCAAACAACCAGAGAGAUUACCGUCCAAAUCUCCUUGCUGAUUCUAUGGAAAGUAAUGGAGAGGUCGGCCAACUAGCCAGCUGCGAGUCCUGGUUCGGCAACCAAUUGGGCUUGCCCUAAUUCCUGACUAUGUCUUUCCAUACCUGUCUGGCGAGCCCGUAACCGAGGGUGAUGUGAUCAAUAGUUUCCGCAGCCUUGUGACAGAAGGGGCACACCACUAGACGCGGUAGUUGGCGACACUCAAGUCUAUCAACCACUUCACCCAUUUUCCAUGCCUUAUUAUACGGAUGUUGGAGAUGCUCUUAGGGGUUGAAGUAAGUGAGAGUGAUCCCUUGUACAGGUUGUGGCCUCCUAUUUUUGCAAUGGAAUUACAGAAAAGAUGUACAAAUUAAUCUCAGUUUCGUAACAAACUUCUUGUACUUGAUCGGCUGGGGCUGAUUUUGUUGCAGCCGAAAGGGUCGGGCCACCGUCGGAUCCGAUCCGACGGCCCCGAUUGCCCCGAUCGAAACCCUAGCAGGCGGCUGGGCCAUGAGGCGGACUGGGCCGGCUGGGCCUGCAAGGGAGCAGGCUCCGGUACUGGGUCACCGGGCAGUUUUCGGCCCAGAGAGCUUCAGACAUUAAAAGUUUUUAAUACAGUUUUUUCUAUGCAUUUUUCUCCAACAAAAAUGUGCUUAGAAAAUAGAAAAGAAAAAGGAGUGUCUCUGCAAAAUAAAAUAUAAAUUUUUCUGCAAAGAAAAAUAAAAGUUUCUGAAAAUAAAAUAGAGAUUUUUUGAGAAAAAGAAAAGUUCAUGGAUUUUAUAAAAGGAUAAUAAAGUUCAUGAAUUUUUAUUUUUAACAGAAUAUUUUUUUCUGUAAAGUAGAAAAAGUACAUGAAUUUUAUAUUCACGUUUUCCACUGCAAAGUAAUUUAAUAGUGCUAUUUUACGAAGUAAAUAAAAAUUUAGAGAGAAUAACAUUUAAGAGCAUAUUAAAGUGAUUAUUAAAAUAAAUAUGGUUAUGUUAUUUUUCUGACCAGCAUUGUUAAUAACAUGAUCAUGUUGCACUAUUGGCAUUAAGAUGCAUUUAUUUCUAUUAUUUGCCCAACGGUAAUAUAGAUUUAUUUGCAUAGAGAAUUGUAUGUUUAAUUUGACCAACGUUAGAUUAAUGCAUAUGAUUGUUAUACUGAUCUCUCUUAAAUUGUGAUUUCAUGAGGCUUCCACCUGAUGAGUUGCCUAAAAGAUGUUCCGACACUCAAAGGUGAUAAGUACUUUGAGUGGAGGAAGAAAGUAGAAAUGGCUUUUGUCUCUGCUGAGGUGGACUGGCUUCUGGAGGAACCACAACCCGUUAAACAUCCACAGCCAGUGAGAGAUGCAAAAGACACUAAUGUUGUAUGGGAGAAAAAGCAAAGGGAUUAUGCUCCAGUGGAGAUGUCCUACUCCCUUAACAACCAAAAGUGGAUAAAUGCCAACAAAAAGUGUCUGGCAUUUAUAAAUAAUACAAUUGAGAACGCCAUUGUGGGCUUAAUUACAGAGUGCACUUCCGUAGGGGAGAUGCUCACAAAGAUAAAGAGCCAGUUCACUGGCUCUUCAAAGACAUAUGCCAUCCAGUUGAUAAAACAACUGGUUACAGAGAACUACACUGGAGGUGGCCAUGGCAUUAGAGAGCACAUCCUUCAGAUGAGCAACAAGGCAGCAAAGCUCAAGCCAAUGGACGCGGAUCUGGAAAUCAAACCAGCACUCCUCAUCCACUUGGUCAUGGCUUCACUGCCAAAGGAGUUCGAAACUUUUGUUGUGAACUAUAACAUGUCCCCUGAAACAUGGAACAUUGAAAAUACAAUAGCAAUGUGUGUCCAAGAAGAGGACAAACUGAAAGCCUCACAUGGUGGUUCAAUCAACUAUGCGAAGGACAAUAAGAAAAAUAAUUUCAGUCAAAACAGCAAAGGUUCUCCUUCAAAGCCACAUGGUAAAGGCCCCUCACAUUUUCAGCAUCAGCAAAAGCCUCUUCUAGUGGACAGGGACACUUGUCUCCACUUCAAGAAGACAGGGCACUACAAAAAGGAUUGCCCUGACUAGCUAAAGACCAUCAUGGCAAAGAGAGGUAACGACAUCGUUUCCUUUGUUAAUGAAUCCAUGUAUUCACAGUUUUCGAAAUCUACUUCGUGGAUUGACUCGGGUGCAACUGUUCAUGUUGCAAACUCUUCACAAGGAUUCCGUUCGACGAGGAUUUUGCAAAGAAGAGAAAGAAGUAUUGAAGUCGCAAAUGGCGUCCAAGCAGAAGUUGAAGCUGUCGGCGACAUCUCCUUGGAGUUGGCUGAAGGAUUCAACCUUUUGCUUAGAAACGUCCUAUUUGUCCCUUCAUGUAAUAGAAAUUUAAUAAAGGUUUCUUGCUUAGAUAAAGACAAUUACGAGUAUUAUUUUGGACAUGGCAAGUGUGCCAUAUGGUACAAUAAUGCUUAUGUUGGUGUUGCCUUACUUCACAACGAGCUUUACUUGUUAUCACUUCGUGAAAAAGUGCAUUACGUGUGUAAUAUGAAUGAGCAAAAUUCCUCGUCGAACAAAGAACAAAAGAAAAGAAAGAGAACUCACGACUCAUCGAAGUUAUGGCACUGUCGUUGGGGCCAUAUUUCGAAAGGGGGGAUAGAAAGACUAAUUAAAAGCGAGAUACUUCCUCCACUUGAGUUCUUAGAUUUAAAACAAUGCAUUCAUUGCGUUAAAGGAAAGUAUGUAAAACAAAUUAAAAAGGGUGCAAACCGAAGCACUGGAACACUAGAAAUCAUCCACACUGACAUUUGAGGACCAUUUCCUGUGGAAAGCGUGGAUGCCUAUGACUCGUUCAUAACAUUCACAGAUGACUACUCCCGUUUCGGUUUUUAUUUAUCCAAUCAAAGAAAGAAAUGAAGCAUUGGGUAAAUUCAAAUUUUUCAGAGCUGAAGUUGAAAAUCAGCUUGACAAAAGAAUAAAGGUAGUGAGAUCUGACCGUGGGGGGAGUACUACGGUCGACAAACUCCAUAUGGCCAAGUCCUUGGACCUUUUGCAAAGUUCUUGCAGGCGACUGGCAUAGUAGCCUAGUAUUCAAUGUCGGGCGAGCCUCAGCAAAAUGGAGUAGCUGAAAGGCGUAACCGUACCCUUAUGGAUAUGGUGCGCAUCAUGAUCAGUUACUCCAACCUGCCAUUGGGAUUAUGGAUGGAGGCGCUUAAAACCGUCAUUCACAUUCUCAAUAGAGGACCAAGCAAGUCGGUGCCCAAAACACCGUACGAGUCGUGGACAGGAAAGGUACCAUCCUUGCAACACUUCAAAGUGUGGGGAUGCCCAGGUGAGGCCAAGAUGUUUAAUCCAAAUAUUGCAAAAUUAGAUCCCAAAACAGUGAGUUGCUACUUCAUUGUCUAUCCUGAUAGAUCAAAAGGUUUUCGUUUCUACUCUCCAGAAAAAUACACAAAGUUUGUAGAAACGAUACAUGCGGUAUUCUUAGAGGACGAAAUGAUGAGGGGGGGUCUGGUAGCUCGGAAAAUUGACCUUGAGGAGAAGAGGGUGCAUGCACCUAAUCCGAUGAUUCAAGAGCCAUUUUUCACACUACCUGUUGUAACUCCAACCAUGACAACUAUGGGAGAAGAUCCGGAACAUGUCCUUCAGGAUCCGACUGAACCUGUUGUUAAGCAUGAAAGGGAGGUACAACAGCCAAUUUUAGAGGAUGUGCCAGAGAACGAGGCACUUAGAAGGUCUAACAGAACAAGAAGGUCAACUAUUUCUGCUGAUUAUAAAGUUUGUAACACAUAAUUGGUUCAUAUGGAAGGUGGUCCCACUUCAUAUGAAGAAGCGAUGAGAAUCCCUCACUCAUCGAAGUGACUGGAGGCAAUGGAAGAUGAGAUGAAAUCGAUGAGUUCCAACGAUGUUUGGGACUUAGAAACUAUUACUAAAGGUGCCAAAACAGUAGAUUGUAAAUGGGUCUACAAAACAAAGUAGGACUCUAAUGGGAAUAUAGAAAAGUAUAAAGCACGACUCGUCGCAAAAAGAUUUACACAAAGAGAAGGGAUAGAGUACAAUGAGACUUUUUCCCUAGUCUCAUGUAAGGAUUCCUUCAAAAUCAUAAUGGCAUUAGUUGCACAUUUUGAUUUAGAGUUGCAUCAAAUGGAUGUAAAGACGACAUUUCUAAACGGAGAUUUAGAAGAAAAUGUCUACAUGAAAAAAUUCAAGGGUUUUAUCAUGGAAGGCAAGGAAGAUAUGGGAUGCCGCCUAAAGAAAUCCAUUUAUGGACUAAGGCAAGCCUCUAGACAGUGGUAUCUAAAGUUCAGCGAUACUAUUAAAAGAUUUGGAUUUAAAGAAAAUGUUGAGGAUAAUUGCGUUUAUGCAGAGUUCAAAAAUGGGAAAUAUAUUUUCUUAAUCUUGUAUGUGGAUGACAUCUUGCUUGGAACCAAUGGUGUUAGUCUACUACAAGAAACAAAGAAGUUUUUAUCCUCAAAUUUUGAUAUGAGAGACCUUGGUGAUGCUUCAUAUGUUUUGGGCAUUGAAAUUCACCGAGAUAGGAAAAAUAGAGUCUUAGGACUACCGCAGAAAGCAUAUUUAGAGAAGGUUCUCAAAAGUACAAUAUGCAUGCGAGCAAGGCCACACCUGCUUUUAUAGUCAAGGGCGACAGUUUUGGGAAAUUCCAAUGUCCCAAGAACCAGUACGAGCUCGAUGAGAUGAAAGCAGUAUCAUAUACUUCGGCUAUUGGAAGUUUACAGUAUGCACAACUGUGCACCCCCUGACUUAGCUUUUAUCACCGGGGUACUCGGUAGAUAUCAAGAGAAUCCAGACCUAGAGCAUUGGAAGAUGAUAAACAAAGCAUUACACUAUGUGCGAAGGCACAAACGAUAUCAUGCUAACAUACAAAAGAUUUGAUUCCCUAGAGAUAAAAGGGUAUUCAGACGCAGAUUUUGCGGGAGAUAGAAAUGAUAGAAAAUCCACGUCAGGAUACGUGUUCACUUUUGCUGAAGGGGCUAUUUCGUGGAAAAGCUCCAAACAAACCGUAGUUGCAUCGUCCACGAUGUAAGCAUAGUUUAUAGCAUGUUUUCAAGCCACUGGGAGGUGAUAUGGUUAAAGAAAUUUAUACCUGACUUGAAAGUGGUAGAUUGUAUUUACAAGCCACUAAAGAUGUACUGCGACAACCAACCCGCAUUAUUAUGCUCACAACAACAAGUUGAGUAAUGCUACCAAGACAAUAGAUAUAAAGUAUUAUGUUAUGAAAGACAAAAUACAGGAUCACACUAUAAGUCUCGAGCAUAUAAGGACAACGGAUAUGCUCGCAGAUCCGCUAACGAAAGGCUUACCACCCAAUGUGUUCAAAGAACACUUAGCCGGCAUGGGGUUAAUGGAAAGCCUAUGAUUCCUGGAUCAUAAGAGGCCCCAAAAGGAACAUAAUUUGUUUCUAAACAAAAGUAUGUUGUAGCUGUAUGAUUCUAUCGACAAUUAUGCUGUGACGAUGAGACAUGCUCUAUGUGUCAAUAUAUGAUGGAACAAAUAAACUAGAAAGUAUAAGGUUAAAGUAAAAGUUGAGAUCAAGAGGAAGAAUUAAUGUUAGGUUGAUCUCUUAGCAUGGGCCCAACGGCCCACCGUACCCUUGAUCCAUAUGCGCCCUGACCGGGGGCGCCCAACCCAUUAUGGUUGGUGGCCCCUGUGACCCGCACUAUCACUACAAGAGAACAGAGCUUUGGUAACACAUAGUAAAAUAUGUUACAAUCGAAAAUCCAGUAACACAUGAUUUGUGUUGCAAAGUCAGACUGUAACACAUACAAUAUAAGCUCAAAAAUGUGUUACGACAAUAUCGUCUAAGUAACACGUAAUUAUGUGUUGCACGUAAUGUGUUACACAGAUGUUGCUACAGUAACAUAUUAAUAUAUGUUAGUGGGAGUGUGUUACAAUAAGAUUGUAGAGAAAGUAACACAUAAUCAUGUGUUGAUCCAUGGUUUGGUUUUGAUAAAUAUCGAACUAUUUCGAGAUGGUUUUUGUAAAUACCAUAUUAGCCAAAUAAGGCGCUAAUUUUAGGAUGACUCAACGACCAUACAUGCACACCUUAAAUUGAUCAUAUAGAAUUAAGUAAUUGACGUCAAUGCAUGUACUCAUGAAGAUUAUAGUAUUUCAACUAAAAGCAUCAAUGAAGCACUAAAAGCGACUCAAAUGGGGCGACCCAUUUCGUCCGUCGCUGUCCGUUUGGGUCGGCACGGAUAAAAAACUUUGCCCAACUAGGCGACCCAAACGGACAACAAGUCCGUCUGGUGUCCAUUCCCGACCCAGACUGAACCAAAAUAUGGGUCACAAAUGGGUCUGCAGCGGAUAAAAGCGGGCGCUCCCGUCGUCUCCUCCCGUCCGCUCGUGUCCGCCCUGGUCCCACCCAUUAGUGACUGGGCACUCGUCCUCCUCACCACCGCCGCCCCGCCGACCCUGUAGGUGGAGCCGGGUCUGGGGACGAGGGAGGUAGCGAUGGCCUCAGUCUCGGUCUCCGGGUCGGAGACGGUAAUGUAGGAGUACUCGAACGUGGCGGCGCGUGCGGAUCUCGGGGAGGCAGAGGCGAAGCGCAGGGAGGAGGCGACGACCCCGACAAAGGACGAAGGGUCGACGAAGGAGGAGGAGGCACGGGACCGGGGGAAGGCGGCGGGGGUGGGAGGGGAGGUGGCGAGGAGGAGG